Molecule: unclassified non-coding RNA, 108 nt
Organism: Castor canadensis (American beaver)
Lineage: Eukaryota; Metazoa; Chordata; Mammalia; Rodentia; Castoridae
Gene: 7SK
Rfam family: 7SK RNA
About the family: 7SK was discovered as an abundant small nuclear RNA in the mid-70s but a possible function has only recently been suggested. Two independent studies have found that 7SK RNA binds the CDK9/cyclin T complex (known as elongation factor P-TEFb).
Source: Ensembl
GGAUGUGAGGACAAUCUGGCUCCAACAUCUGUCACCCCAUUGAUCUCCAGAGUUGAUUCAGCUGAUCUGGCUGGUUAGGCAGGUGUCCUCUUCCUCCCUCACCACUCC